GCCGGCCUGAGAGGGCACACGGCCACACUGGCANUGAAACACGGGCCAGACUCCUACGGGAGGCAGCAGUGGGGAAUCUUGCACAAUGGGGGAAACCCUGAUGCAGCGACGCCGCGUGAGCGAUGAAGCCCUUCGGGGUGUAAAGCUCUUUCGGCAGGGAAGAUUAUGACGGUACCUGCAGAAGCAGCUGCGGCUAACUACGUGCCAGCAGCCGCGGUAAUACGUAGGCAGCAAGCGUUGUUCGGAGUUACUGGGCGUAAAGGGUGUGUAGGCGGUUGUUUAAGUUUGGUGUGAAAUCUCCCGGCUUAACUGGGAGGGUGCGCCGAAUACUGAAUGACUAGAGUGCGGGAGAGGAAAGUGGAAUUCCUGGUGUAGCGGUGAAAUGCGUAGAUAUCAGGAGGAACACCGGUGGUGUAGACGGCUUUCUGGACCGUAACUGACGCUGAAACACGAAAGCGUGGGUAGCAAACAGGAUUAGAUACCCUGGUAGUCCACGCCCUAAACGAUGCAUAUUUGGUGUGGGUCAUUCAGUUGAUCCGUGCCGGAGCUAACGCGUUAAAUAUGCCGCCUGGGGAGUACAGUCGCAAGGNCUGAAAACUCAAA
RNAcentral lists this ribosomal RNA (603 nucleotides) under uncultured bacterium. RNAcentral describes it as "bacterial SSU rRNA". It matches the Rfam family "Bacterial small subunit ribosomal RNA", at positions 286 to 905 of the family's 1533-position model. The record is from RNAcentral.